Molecule: ribosomal RNA, 490 nt
Filed under: uncultured bacterium
Lineage: Bacteria
Description: partial 16S ribosomal RNA
Rfam family: Bacterial small subunit ribosomal RNA
Source: RNAcentral
AUUGAACGCUGGCGGCAGGCCUAACACAUGCCAGUCGAACGGUAACAGGAAACAUCUUGCUGUUUCGCUGACGAGUGGCGGACGGGUGAGUAAUGUCUGGGAAACUGCCUGAUGGAGGGGGAUAACUACUGGAAACGGUAGCUAAUACCGCAUAACGUCGCAAGACCAAAGAGGGGGACCCUCGGGCCUCGGGCCAGCGGAUGUGCCCAGGUGGGAAUAGCUUGUUGGUGGGGUAAAGGCUCACCAAGGCGACGAUCCCUAGCUGGUGUGAGAGGAUGACAGCCCACACUGGAACUGGGACACGGUCAAGACUACUACGGGAGGCAGCAGUGGGGAAUAUUGCACAAUGGGCGAAAGCCUGAUGCAGCCAUGCCGCGUGUAUGAAGAAGGCCUUCGGGUUGUAAAGUACUUUCAGCGGGGAGGAAGGGAGUAAAGUUAAUACCUUUGCUCAUUGACGUUACCCGCAGAAGAAGCACCGGCUAACUCCGUG